GACGAACGCUGGCGGCGUGCUUAACACAUGCAAGUCGAGCGGAAAGGCCCUUCGGGGUACUCGAGCGGCGAACGGGUGAGUCACACGUGAGUAACCUGCCCCAGACUUUGGGAUAACCCUCGGAAACGGGGGCUAAUACCGGAUACGACACAGCUUCGCAUGGGGUCUGUGUGGAAAGUUUUUCGGUUUGGGAUGGGCUCGCGGCCUAUCAGCUUGUUGGUGGGGUGAUGGCCUACCAAGGCGACGACGGGUAGCCGGCCUGAGAGGGCGACCGGCCACACUGGGACUGAGACACGGCCCAGACUCCUACGGGAGGCAGCAGUGGGGAAUAUUGCACAAUGGGCGGAAGCCUGAUGCAGCGACGCCGCGUGAGGGAUGACGGCCUUCGGGUUGUAAACCUCUUUCAGCAGGGACGAAGCGUAAGUGACGUUACCUGCAGAAGAAGCGCCGGCCAACUACGUG
RNAcentral lists this ribosomal RNA (462 nucleotides) under uncultured bacterium. Its description in RNAcentral is "partial 16S ribosomal RNA". It matches the Rfam family "Bacterial small subunit ribosomal RNA", at positions 28 to 507 of the family's 1533-position model. The record is from RNAcentral.